Bubalus bubalis (water buffalo) is the source of this 433-nucleotide long non-coding RNA. RefSeq lists it as uncharacterized. The transcript is spliced from 3 exons. NCBI's taxonomy places the organism in Eukaryota, Metazoa, Chordata, Mammalia, Artiodactyla, Bovidae. The record is from RefSeq and is a predicted model, not a curated record.
GUAAUACUAUUGUUCUUCCUAUGUUAUUGCAAGUGUAUCGAUGGGAUCCAGAGCACUAUGAAUCUGGAUCAUAGCAACACUAUACAGCUCUGCAUAUGGCAGAGAACAAGACAUACAGUUUCUAGCAAUCUAAUGCAUGGUUAAGUGAGUCACGGUGACUCAGAGGAGUUCCUCACGGGGCACGGGAUACAGUGGAAAUGCAUCUGCACUGGGAGUCAACCAUGGAUUGGAAGUCCAACCCUGCCUCUUCCAGAGCUACAACAAAGACAUCCGUGCUAGAGAAGCAGCCCAAAUGUUCUGCCUGCUGGAGCCCUCAAGACAUAAUUUGAAAAAUCUUAGAUGCCUUAUAUUGAAGAGGGUGGCAUCAGAAGAUGGAAGGGGACUGAUUCUCACAAGACUGGAAUCAGGGCUUGAAAGAGAACCACCUGACCUA